GGGCCUGUAGCUCAGCUAGGUAGAGUAGCGGACUCUUAAUCCGCCUGUCGAGGGUUCGAAUCCCUUCAGGCCCG
Molecule: transfer RNA, 74 nt
Filed under: Thermoplasmata archaeon
Lineage: Archaea; Methanobacteriati; Thermoplasmatota; Thermoplasmata
Also listed under: 2 other names
Description: tRNA-Lys
Rfam family: tRNA
About the family: Transfer RNA (tRNA) molecules are approximately 80 nucleotides in length.
Source: RNAcentral